GACGAACGCUGGCGGCGUGCUUAACACAUGCAAGUCGAACGGAAAGGCCCUGCUUUUGUGGGGUGCUCGAGUGGCGAACGGGUGAGUAACACGUGAGUAACCUGCCCUUGACUUUGGGAUAACUUCAGGAAACUGGGGCUAAUACCGGAUAGGAGCUCCUGCUGCAGGGUGGGGGUUGGAAAGUUUCGGCGGUUGGGGAUGGACUCGCGGCUUAUCAGCUUGUUGGUGGGGUAGUGGAUUACCAAGGCUUUGACGGGUAGCCGGCCUGAGAGGGUGACCGGCCACAUUGGGACUGAGAUGCGGCCCAGACUCCUACGGGAGGCAGCGGUGGGGAAUAUUGCACAAUGGGAGGAGGCCUGAUGCAGCAACGCCGCGUGCGGGAUGACGGCCUUCGGGUUGUAAACCGCUUUCGCCUGUGACGAAGCGUGAGUGACGGUAAUGGGUAAAGAAGCACCGGCUAACUACGUG
RNAcentral lists this ribosomal RNA (468 nucleotides) under uncultured bacterium. Its description in RNAcentral is "partial 16S ribosomal RNA". It matches the Rfam family "Bacterial small subunit ribosomal RNA", at positions 28 to 507 of the family's 1533-position model. The record is from RNAcentral.